CGAAGGUGGCAAGCGUUGUUCGGAUUUACUGGGCGUACAGGGAGCGUAGGCGGUUCGGUAAGCCCUUUGUGAAAUCUCCAGGCUUAACCUGGAACAGUCGGAGGGGACUGCCGGGCUAGAGGACGGGAGAGGAGCGCGGAAUUCCCGGUGUAGCGGUGGAAUGCGCAGAGAUCGGGAGGAAGGCCGGUGGCGAAGGCGGCGCUCUGGAACGUUUCUGACGCUGAGGCUCGAAAGCGUGGGGAGCAAACAGGAUUAGAUACCCUGGUAGUCCACGCCUUAAACUAUGAAUACUAAGUGUCGGCGGGUUACCGUCGGUGCCGCAGCUAACGCAUUAAGUAUUCCGCCUGGGAAGUACGGCCGCAAGGUUG
This 368-nucleotide ribosomal RNA is filed under the name uncultured organism. Its description in RNAcentral is "bacterial SSU rRNA". It matches the Rfam family "Bacterial small subunit ribosomal RNA", at positions 526 to 896 of the family's 1533-position model. The record is from RNAcentral.